RNAcentral lists this ribosomal RNA (274 nucleotides) under uncultured bacterium. Its description in RNAcentral is "partial 16S ribosomal RNA". It matches the Rfam family "Archaeal small subunit ribosomal RNA", at positions 473 to 747 of the family's 1478-position model. The record is from RNAcentral.
AAACCAGCACCUCAAGUGGUCAGGAUGAUUAUUGGGCCUAAAGCAUCCGUAGCCGGCUUUGUAAGUUUUCGGUUAAAUCCAUACGCUCAACGUAUGGGCUGCCGGGAAUACUGCAAGGCUAGGGAGUGGGAGAGGUAGACGGUACUCGGUAGGAAGGGGUAAAAUCCUUUGAUCUCUCGAUGACCACCUGUGGCGAAGGCGGUCUACCAGAACACGUCCGACGGUGAGGGAUGAAAGCUGGCGGAGCAAACCGGAUUAGAAACCCGAGUAGUCC